Molecule: unclassified non-coding RNA, 427 nt
Filed under: plant metagenome
Description: partial contains 5.8S ribosomal RNA, internal transcribed spacer 2, and large subunit ribosomal RNA
Rfam family: Bacterial small subunit ribosomal RNA
Source: RNAcentral
GGAAUCUUCCACAAUGGGCGAAAGCCUGAUGGAGCAACGCCGCGUGGGUGAAGAAGGUCUUCGGAUCGUAAAACCCUGUUGUUAGAGAAGAAAGUGCGUGAGAGUAACUGUUCACGUUUCGACGGUAUCUAACCAGAAAGCCACGGCUAACUACGUGCCAGCAGCCGCGGUAAUACGUAGGUGGCAAGCGUUAUCCGGAUUUAUUGGGCGUAAAGGGAACGCAGGCGGACUUUUAAGUCUGAUGUGAAAGCCUUCGGCUUAACCGGAGUAGUGCAUUGGAAACUGGGAGACUUGAGUGCAGAAGAGGAGAGUGGAACUCCAUGUGUAGCGGUGAAAUGCGUAGAUAUAUGGAAGAACACCAGUGGCGAAAGCGGCUCUCUGGUCUGUAACUGACGCUGAGGUUCGAAAGCGUGGGUAGCAAACAGGA